Long non-coding RNA from Octodon degus (degu), 160 nucleotides. RefSeq lists it as uncharacterized. The record is from RefSeq and is a predicted model, not a curated record. The transcript is spliced from 3 exons. Lineage: Eukaryota; Metazoa; Chordata; Mammalia; Rodentia; Octodontidae.
CUUGCCAAGACUCCAAAUAAGAGUUUAAGAACUUUCCAACAAUCACCUCACAGGAAGAAGAUCAUCCAUGUGAGGAGGAAGUUCUUUUUCCUCAUCUCCCUGUUCACUAUUUCCUGCAAGGUAAUAAAUGGACAAUCAGAAACUAAGUACUACUGGACCA